Molecule: ribosomal RNA, 1517 nt
Filed under: uncultured bacterium
Lineage: Bacteria
Description: 16S ribosomal RNA
Rfam family: Bacterial small subunit ribosomal RNA
Source: RNAcentral
AGAGUUUGAUCCUGGCUCAGAACGAACGCUGGCGGCGUGCCUAACACAUGCAAGUCGAACGAGAAAGGGGCUUCGGCCCUGAGUAAAGUGGCGCACGGGUGAGUAACACGUAGGUAACCUGCCUCUAAGAUUGGGAUAACUCGUCUCAAAGAUGGGCUAAUACCAAAUAAGACCACAGUUUUUUCGGAAGCAGAGGUCAAAGGUAGCCUCUAUUUAUAAGCUAUCGCUUAGAGAUGGGCCUGCGCACCAUUAGCUAGUUGGUAGGGUAACGGCCUACCAAGGCAAAGAUGGUUAGCUGGGUCUGAGAGGAUGAUCAGCCACACUGGAACUGAAACCCGGUCCAGACUCCCUACGGGAAGGCAGCAGUGGGGAAAAUUGCGCAAUGGGGCAAAGGCUGAAGCAGCAACGCCCCCUGAAUGAUGAAGGCUUCGGGUCCUAAACUCUGUCGGAAGGAACGAAUGGUUUUCGGGUUAACAGCCCCGAAAGUGGCGUAUCCCUCCAAGGAAACACCGGGUAAUUCUGUGGCAGCAGCCGCGGGAAUACAGAAGGGGCUAGCGGUUGUUCUGAAACCUUGGGGCGGAAAGGGCGUGUAAGCGGGUUUGUAAAUCAUGUGUGGAAAUCCCUCCCGCUCACACGGGGAACGACACCACGAACUGGGCAGCUAUAGUAACACAGAGGGGGGUGGGAAUACUCUCGCGUAUCGGUGAAAAGCGUACAUAUCGGGAGGAGACACUGUGUCUGAGAGCGACCCUGGUUGGAUUCUGACCGUUGAUACCGGAAGGCGUUGGGAGCCAACCAGGAAUUAGAUACCUGUAUAGUCACGCUGUAACCGAUGGGCAUUAGGUGUCCGGGUAUUGACCCCUGGUGCCGCAGCUAACGCAUUAAGUGCCCGCCUUGGGGAGUACGGUCGCAAGAUAAACUCCAAAGAAUUGACCGGGUCCGCACAAGCGGUGGAGCAUGUGUCAAUUCGACGCACGCGAAGACUUACCUUGGGCUAGACACGGUGGACCGUCCUAGAAAUAGGAUUUUCCCUUCGGGGACUGCCGGUUCAGGUGCUGCAUGGCUGUCGUCAGCUCGUGCCGUGAGGUGUUGGGUUAAGUCCCGCAACGAGCGCAACCCUCGUCCUUUAGUUGCCACCAUUCAGUUGGGCACUCUAGGGAGACUGCCGGCGUUAAGCCGGAGGAAGGUGGGGACGACGUCAAGUCAUCAUGGCCCUUAUGUCCAGGGCCACACACGUGCUACAAUGGGCGGUACAAAGGGUUGCAAACCCGCGAGGGGGAGCUAAUCCCAAAAAGCCGCUCUCAGUUCGGAUUGGAGUCUGCAACUCGACUCCAUGAAGUUGGAAUCGCUAGUAAUCGCGGAUCAGCACGCCGCGGUGAAUACGUUCCCGGGCCUUGUACACACCGCCCGUCACACCAUGGAAGCCAGCUGUACCGGAAGUCGGUGCACCAACCCGCAAGGGAGGUAGCCGCCUAUGGUAUGACUGGUGACUGGGGUGAAGUCGUAACAAGGUAACC